AGGUGCAGCGGUAGGAACAUAGAGAAGUAUACAGUGUUCUGGAGAGAGUCGCUCUCGUGGCCUGGGGGGAUCUUGCCUGUAUAACAUCACGCUGCGCAUCAAGAUCCCUGCUAUCUGUCAGUGACUGGAAACAUUCAGAGACUGGGAAUUCCUUCUGAUGCCAGGCCUCCUCGCAGAGCUGCAGUAAUACCUCUGCAAACACAACCAGCGGACCCUCCAUUGUGACUAUAGACAAAGCUACCCCAGAUUCCACCGAGACGAA
Molecule: long non-coding RNA, 262 nt
Organism: Hyla sarda
Lineage: Eukaryota; Metazoa; Chordata; Amphibia; Anura; Hylidae
Exons: 3
Source: RefSeq, a predicted model, not a curated record